This 70-nucleotide transfer RNA is filed under the name Trachelus tabidus. RNAcentral describes it as "tRNA-Leu". Lineage: Eukaryota; Metazoa; Arthropoda; Insecta; Hymenoptera; Cephidae. The record is from RNAcentral.
AUUAUUUUGGCAGAUUAGUGCGUUAAAUUUAGAAUUUAAAUAUAGGAUUGGUUAGUAGUCUUAAAUAAUA